RNAcentral lists this ribosomal RNA (162 nucleotides) under bacterium. Its description in RNAcentral is "partial 16S ribosomal RNA". It matches the Rfam family "Bacterial small subunit ribosomal RNA", at positions 1 to 113 of the family's 1533-position model. The record is from RNAcentral.
AUUACGGAGAGUUUGAUCCUGGCUCAGAACGAACGCUGGCGGCGCGUUUUAAGCAUGCAAGUCGAACGAGAACUUAGCACUCAACUGAUGUUACAUAUUGGAUUUAGACCAAGGAUGUGGCCUCAGUUGAGUGCUAAGGGACAGUGGCGAACGGGUGAGUAA